This 1455-nucleotide long non-coding RNA is filed under the name Vigna radiata. RNAcentral's name for it is "long non-coding RNA (VRAD_LNC006903)". The record is from RNAcentral. Lineage: Eukaryota; Viridiplantae; Streptophyta; Magnoliopsida; Fabales; Fabaceae.
GGGUGGAGCAUGUGGAAGUGGACGAGAAGACAGAAAAUCAGCAGGAUUUCGGAGAUGCUAUGACUCAAAUCAAUGCCCUAUGGAGCAGAAAAAUGGCUUUCUGCACUGGAAAGAAUGAGUUUCAGAUUUCCCUAGAAGGAACAUAUCUAACUAAAUUCUUCUUUUAGGUAAUAUAAAUCUUAUUUUUAUAUUUCCUUAUAUAACAUUUUCAGGAACAAAUAUUUUUUUAUUAUGAGGUUUCAACACUAAACUUUAAAUAAUACUACAUUUAUUUUUCUUAGGAACUGAUGUACACAAUAGCUUACCAGAUAUUUACCCACUUAACUCUCAAUGAAAUAUAUAUCAAAUAUAAAGAUAUAAAGCUAGUUUGUUUGUGAUUUAAUACAUCAUUUAGACCGAUCAAUGGUUUGAAACAAAUAUCAAACAGAACAAAAGCUAUUAUUCAAAGGGAAAAACAGAGUACGAUCAGAGUACAGAAAUUCAUUCAUGAGAGUUCAAAGGGAAGUAGUACAGAAAUUCAUUCAUGAGAGUUCAAAGGGAAAAACAGAGUACGAUUGGAGUACAGAAAUUCAUUCAUGAGAGUACAGCAAAGUGUCCAAUGCACAAUGAAUGUCAUUAUAGUAUGAAAAAUUUCUCUCUAAAAAGGAAAUCACAUACCUUCUCAGCAGCGGCGCGAACUAUCACCAUCUCAUUCUCAAGCUUCUUGACUCUGUUAUUUAUAGCUUCAAGUUUAGCAGCGCCACUCUUUAUAUCAUGCGAAACGAAUACCAUUACAAAAGCAAAGGUGACUGGUAUUGUGAAUCCCAAGGUCAACUGGAACAUUCUGGAAUUUGCCAUCAUUGUUUUGAAGGCAGAGAAAAUAGAUAAAGAAGAUGAAGAGAAGCUUAGUAUAAAUAGAUGAAAGAAUAGAUUUUAUUUAUAAAAAUAAUCCCAACGAAACGGUUAAGGGAAUCAUAAUUAGAAUCACGCGGAUUGCAUCAUGUAUUUUUUCAUGAACGCAACAACUUUGAUUCGUUUAUUGUUUAUAGUUAUUCAAAAAUUACAUCCAAAAAUAAUUCAUGUAGCACUAUAGUUAAAAAGGAAACUUUUUGUUGAUAUUAAGUUUAAUUAUAAAAUAGGUUUGUUGGGUGGAGCAUGUGGAAGUGGACGAGAAGACAGAAAAUUAGCAGGAUUUCAGAGAUGCUAUGACUUAAAUCAAUGCCUAUGGAGCAGAAAAAUGGCUUUCUGCACUAGAAAGAAUGAGUUUCAGAUUUCCCUAGAAGGAACAUAUCUAAUUAAAUUAUUCUUUCAGGUAAUAUAAAUCUUAUUUUUAUAUUUCCUUAUAUAACAUUUUCAAGAACAGAUACUACUACAAAAAUCAUAUUUUAUGACGUACAAAAACGAACUAUGACGUACAUAGUUUUGUACGUUAUAAUAGGUCUACAUAUUUUAUGACGUAGCAAAAAUUUACGUUAU